CUCAACACUGGAGGCUACAGUCUCUUUGUUGGAGCUAAUGGUGGACUCCAGGAGGGCUCAUGUCAAGGAGUACUUCCCAGAACUUCUGCUGCCAGUGUCCUUAUCCCUGCGGUGAGCCACAGCCACCCCCUACCUCUUCAGGAGACCCUCGAACACUAGCAGGUAUGUCGGUCUGUCCUCAGAUGCACCUCGUUUUCUGUUCCACCUCUCUGUGUGGCACUACAUAUGGGACUCUUGACAGCACUGCCUUCUCCCCCUUUGUGUGAAAGAUGGAUGCCAGUCAAUUAAUUUACCUCAGAUGUUGGAGCCCAGCUUGUACCAGCAUAUGUACUCCACUUGGAAAAUACAAGAUUUUUUAGAAAAUAAUAUACCAAUUAGAAGGAAAAAGAGAAGUAAGGCAAGAAAUUUCUCUUUUGCCUUCAUAGCAUCCAAGUGAAUGUUCAGCCAAACUAUAAACAUUUUUACCACAGAA
Long non-coding RNA from Mesoplodon densirostris (Blainville's beaked whale), 472 nucleotides. RefSeq lists it as uncharacterized. The transcript is spliced from 3 exons. NCBI's taxonomy places the organism in Eukaryota, Metazoa, Chordata, Mammalia, Artiodactyla, Ziphiidae. The record is from RefSeq and is a predicted model, not a curated record.